AGCAGCCGCGGUAAUUCCAGCUCCAAUAGCGUAUAUUAAAGUUGCUGCAGUUAAAAAGCUCGUAGUUGAAUUUCGGGACUAAUAUGUCGGUCGUGCCUCGGUACGUACUGGUUUAUUGGUUUCUCCUUUCUGAAGAACCAUGAUGUCAUUUAUUUGGUGUCGUGGGGAAUCAGGACUGUUACUUUGAAAAAUUAGAGUGUUUAAAGCAAGCACACGCUUGAAUACAUUAGCAUGGAAUAAUGAAUAAGGACGUUUGAUUCUAUUUUGUUGGUUUCUUAGGAUCGACGUAAUGAUUAAUAGGGAUAGUUGGGGGCGAUUAGUAUUCAAUUGUCAGAGGUGAAAUUCUUGGAUUUAUUGUAAGACUAACUACUGCGAAAGCAUUUGUCCAAGGAUGUUUUUCAUU
This 403-nucleotide ribosomal RNA is filed under the name uncultured Glomeromycotina. RNAcentral describes it as "SSU rRNA". It matches the Rfam family "Eukaryotic small subunit ribosomal RNA", at positions 569 to 974 of the family's 1831-position model. The record is from RNAcentral. Lineage: Eukaryota; Fungi; Glomeromycota.